GGACUUGUGGUUAUAUCCGAUCCACCCACGCUCACCCUUCGGGAGUGGUUGCUUCUUUGUCAGGUCAUUGUUUGGAGCACCUAGGGUAAUCAGACGUUGGGGCUUGGAGCUAGUGGCCAGAGAGACAUGGCGUCCGGGGGCCUCUACGCACGUAUGGAUGCAUUCAGGGGAAUGGGAAAUUGUUUCUGAAAAGGUGUGCAGGGCAUGUACAACAUGCGCGGCCCACUGUUGGGGGGUGUGUGAGAAUGCAAGACCUUUCCGAGAGACAUUCGUGUCAAGGUUUUGGAUCCUUCCCACAGUGUACAUUGCAAUAUCAAUACCACCAAGACGAAUAUAUUCCUCGAGCCAGCAAAGGCUCCAGGGCCCAUCAAGAAGGAGAGCCAAGAGUUCAAAAAGAUCUUCGGAUGGUUUAAUAUUAUUUUCACCAGCAGCUAUAGCGUCAGCAAAUGCGCAAGCAAAUUCCGGCCAGUACAAUACCGCGUAUUCGAAGAGCGGGCACAGCUCCAUUAGUUCCUUUCUAAUGUGGCUAGAUUUGGGAAUUCGGAAAUAUGCAUUAUUCUGUACUGAGGGUGCAUGCAGAACGUUUAGGCAUGCUGUUGCUAAUACCGCAUUCGAGCUCGUCACUUCGACAAAGUACUUCGCAAGGCUAGGUGGGAUAGUGAUAGAUUGCGUUAUUUUACGCUGCAGAAACUCUCUUGCGGACAAAUGUAUCAAGCGAAUAGUGUCUCCAUCGUCUAGUCCUGAAUAUUGCACCAGAGAACCGCAUGCUUUUACCACAUCUCUACGGGAAUAAAUAUAUGCCUCUUCGUAGUCGUCGUCAUCCUCGUACUUGGCACCUCGAAACUCAUCGAUCUGCAGUGCCUGGUCUAAUUCACACCAGCGCAAGGGCCGGAUACUUCCCACUACCCACUGAAACACCCGUUGUACAAAGUCUUGUUCUGCAAGAGGCUUUGCGUUCAGGCCCUCCAAUAUCUUCACAUAGAGCGCUACCAUAUCGCCCGGCAAUUGCAGGAGUGCCUGGCGGACUCUAGCCCCGUUUCCUUGCAUUUUGAUAUCUUUGCACAUCAGGUUUGACAUUCUGUUCACUUUGUGUCGGACAAAGGAGGCGAUGUCUCUUUUCACAUCAUCUUCAGACAUUAGGAUUGUCAUCGUCCUUGGUCCGUUAAUGACAUCCACGUGUUCGCCAGUCCUUCGGCUAGUCGCAAUGACAUGUAUGUCGGGGUGUGAAACCAGUGUUUUCAAGUCCUUACAGAGGGGCUUAACACCUACACACUCAUCAAGGGCGUCGAGAACGAUCGUAAAGGUGCAGCCAGCAUGUUGAACCGAGCUAGCAAAUACAGCUAACAUUUCCUCGUAAUCAACAUGUCGUUUACGGGAGGUAUUCUGCAACGCUGUUCGCAGGUUUUCAAUCUUACUCUCCAGCACGAAGCUAUAGAGUUGUUCGAGGAGAGAUCUCACAGCGGCUAAGGGCGUAUUUUUCGUCUCAUCGUCUGCUUUGAAGAAAUGAUAGAGUGUCAGGCAAGGUUUCUUGUGAUCCGUACCGCUCUGGAAAGUUCGCCGGGCCCGUUCAACUAGAAACGAGCUCAAUAUUGUCUUUCCCGCGCCGGGAAUACCAUAAAUCACCAAGAAUCGCGUGUCAGAGGAAGAACCAGACCAUAAUUUGAAUUCUUGUCUACCCAUGACCCACAUACAGGUGCCGUUAUGUCGCCUCGAGUUUGCCUUCUUUAGAUCAGUGGCAUAGUCUGGGGCUUUGAGCCAAUCAAACACACGUUGGUCGUCGCUUUCUAGUAGUAAUGUACCCAUAUUAGCAUAUAUCUACUCCGGACAUACAUACAGCAAUAAUACGUGAAGGGAAAGGGACAAUGAACCUACCCCGGUGCGACUGCUGAAACGCAUUCCAGAACUGGCUUGAAUUCUCAUGAUGCUGUGCUUGUGCUGCACUCUUUAGCAACAUAGUUUGCUCCUUGAGUUUGCUCUGUAACUGCUCGAAUUUGCCUUUGAUAGAAUACGACUUGAUAGAUAAUGAGCC
This 2029-nucleotide small RNA is filed under the name Histoplasma capsulatum. RNAcentral describes it as "hypothetical RNA". RNAcentral also lists the same sequence under 1 other name. Lineage: Eukaryota; Fungi; Ascomycota; Eurotiomycetes; Onygenales; Ajellomycetaceae. The record is from RNAcentral.